CCUCAUCGAGCUCCUUGUUACUUUGCUUAACAACAAAUAAGUAAUCCGGGCUAAGACUUGAUAUCAGGGAUUGAUCCCGCCGCACUAGCCUUGGACACCCAAGAUCCCUUCGAUCUUGGAUCUGAGGCACAUCCGAUCAUCAGGUCGUGUGUGUUUAUCUUGUAAUCAAUCUUGAAUCAUAUCAUUGGUGCUUUCAAAAAAAAAGUUUUGAACUCUUAAUUUCAGAUCUCUGCAAAUGCCGCCUACUACAAUGGAUUUAGCAAACAAUCCUGAUUUUUUACGCUUACAAUCUCUGCAAAUGUCACAAAUAAAAGAGAUGAGUGAGUUCCGUAUAGUCAUGAACAAAAAUAUUAUGGAACUGGGAAAACAGCUAGCAGAAAUGUGUGAUACGAUUGCGAAAACAGGACCAGACCAACCUGAUCCGAACAAAAAUCUGUCUGAAAACAGAUUAGGCCCUUUCCACCAAUCUCUGGUGGACUUAGACAAUCCAGCUUAUGCAAAUUGUAUUCUCAAAGAUGACUCGUAUACACCUGCAAAACACAUCAAGGUUAAUAUGCCGAGGUUCGAUGGCUCUGAUGCAGAAGGAUGGCUUUUCUCUGUUAGAAGAUAUUUUAUAUUCAAUAAAAUACCAGAAGAUCAGAAAUUACUGAUAGUUUCAUUUCAUCUGGAUGGUAUUGUAAAGAAAUGGUUUGCUUGGUUAGAAGCAAGCAACAUGUUAUCUAAUUGGAAGAAUUUCGUGGAUGCAGUGAUAAGAAAGUUUACUUCAUGGCAUUACUCACUUCCGGGAGGAAAGCUUAGCAAGCUAUGCCAAGAAGGGUCUGUGGCUGACUAUCAACAAUUAUUUGAAGAAUUAUGUACAAGGGUGUUGGGCCUACCCGACUAUUUUAUAUUAGAAAUGUACAUAUCAGGCUUAAAGGAGGAAUUGCAAACUGAGGUAAUGAGAGAUAAACCAAGGGAUAUUCAUGAAGCAUUUGAUUUAUCCCUAAUGCUAGAGGCAAGAAAAGGAGGUUCUAAGGGCAAUUCAUACAAGCCAUAUUCACCAAAGACUACUAAAUUCGUGCCUUUCAAUACCUAUUCAGCAAAAUCAGAUAUUGAGGUAAAAAAUCCAGCAACUAGCACUACCAACACUUCUACACCUGUUUUUAAAAGAUUAACACCUGCUGAAAGAAAGGAAAAAACUGCUAAAGGGCUCUGUUUUAACUGUGAUGAUAAAUUUAUACCGGGUCAUAAGUGUAAAGGAAAAAUGUUUAGACUUGCUGCUGAUGGUCCUGUUUUUGGGAGGUUGAAGAAAUAGAAGAAAAAGAAGAACAUAAUCAAGAGAUAAGUAUAAUAGAGCCUGAAAAUAAAGAAAUAAGCUUCAAUGCCUUUGAGGGCCACAUAAACCCUAAUACCAUAAGGCUGGAAGGUUAUAUAAAGGGACAAUGCAUAAGUGUUUUGGUAGAUAUAGGAUCUACCCAUAAUUUUAUGCAAACUGAUGUUGCUGAAAAUCUGAAAUUGAUCAUUCAAGUCAUCAUUCCAUUUAAAGUUUCCACGGGCAGUGGGGAAAAACUUAUCUGUGACAAAGUAUGCAAAAAUGUAGAAAUAAAAAUCCAGGGCACCAUCAUAAAGAUGGAUAUAUUUCUAUUACCUAUGGCUGGCUCGAACAUGGUCGUUGGGAUUCAAGGCUUAAAAACUCUAGGCCCGGUAACAUUUGAUUUUGUGAGAAUGCAAAUGAAAUUUAAAGCUAAUGGAUCUGAAAUUGUAUGGCUGGGUUGUCCAUGGAUCACGGAGGAUCCUUUAACCAAGGGUCAAUUAAGGUGUCUAGUAGCUUCUACUCAAGAAGCAUACUUAUGCUAUAUUGAUAAAAUAGAAGAAAAUCAGGAGUUACCCUUUCUAAAUUCUGGAAAUGCUGAAAUAACAGAAAUAAUUCAGGAAUACACAGACAUAUUUGAAUCACCUGUGGAGUUGCCACCACAAAGAGAGAGGGACCAUUAUAUUCACUUGGAACUAAACAGCAAGCCUGUGAAUGUAAGACCUUACCGAUACCCUCAAUUUCAAAAAUCAGAAAUUGAGAAACUCGUAUCUGAAAUGUUGAAACAGCAAAUAAUUAAGCCAAGCACAAGCCCAUAUUCCUCUCCAGUGUUAUUAGUUAAGAAGAAAGAUGGGGGCUACAGGCUUUGUGUGGAUUAUAGGGCUCUGAAUGCAUUAACAAUUAAAGAUAAAUUCUCAAUUCCUACUAUUGACGAGCUACUUGGGGAAUUAAAAGGUUCAGUUAUUUUUUCUAAACUUGAUCUGACGUCCGGGUUCCAUCAAAUCAGAGUUCAUCCACCUCAUACAGAAAAAACAGCAUUCAGAACACAUCAGGGUCAUUUUGAGUUUAUGGUGAUGCCUUUUGGGCUCACAAAUGCGCCUGCCACUUUUCAAUCUGUCAUGAACUCGGUAUUUAGCAAGUUUUUGAGAAAGUUUGUGAUUAUAUUCUUUGAUGAUAUCCUUGUGUACAGUGUAUCCCUAGAAGACCAUCAGUCACAUUUGAGGCUAGUAUUUGAUACACUGAGAGACAACAAGUUACUAGCAAAGCUCUCUAAGUGCUCGUUUGGCCAGACUUCAAUGAGUUUCUUGGGUCACAUAAUCAAGGCAGACGGUGUCCAUCCGGAUCCUGAAAAAAUUAGAGCAAUGGUAGAUUGGGUGGUACCUAAGACAAUAAAGAUGUUGAGAGGUUUCUUAGGCUUAACAGGGUAUUAUAGAAGAUUUAUGAGGCUAUGCACAGAUAGCAUCUCCUAUGACUGACUUAUUAAGAAAGGAUGCUUUUAAAUGGAAUUAUUUAGCUACUUCCAAUUUCGAAAAAUUAAAAGCAGCCAUGGUUUCAGCUCCAGUUCUAGUCUUUCCAGACUUUAAGAAGCAAUUUGUAGUAGAGACUGACGCAUGCAACACUGGGGUAGGGGCUGUCCUAGCUCAAGAAUCUCACUCUAUUUCAUUUUUUAGUUGUAAAAUUUCUGGAAGAAUGGCAGCGGCAUCCAUUUAUGUAAAAGAGAUGUAUGCCAUUACCCAAGCCGUGGGAAAAUGGAGACACUACUUGCUAGGUUCUCACUUCAUCAUUAAGACUGAUCAUAAGAGUCUUAAGAAUCUCCUAACUCAAACUAUACAAACACCGGAGCAACAGAUUUUUUUAUGUAAGUUACUUGGGUUUGAUUUUUCUAUUAUAUACAAGCCGGGCAAGGAUAAUGUGGUGGCUUAUGCUUUAUCUAGAUCGUUUGAAGAAAAUGAAAAACAGGUCAUAUAUUCCAGCAAUUCAACAGGUGAUCCAGGAUCAUUAUUAUCUUUAUCUGCGCAGGUAAAUUCAUUAUUGGAUGAACUAAGAAGAGAAUCAUCAAACUGCCCAAAAAUUCAGGAAUUAGUAAAAAAAUGCUAUGAAGAGGGUCAGGACCAUAGAAGCUUCCAUAUCAGAGAAGGGAUAUUGUUCUAUAAAGGGAGAUAUUAUGUGCAUGAGGAGUCUACCUUAAUUCCCAAAAUUCUAUGGGAGUAUCACAAUUCUCCAAUUGGGGGUCAUGCUGGAAUAUUGAAAACAAAAGUAAGAAUUUCUCAACUCUUCUUUUGGCCAAAAAUGAAUAAAAGCAUUAUCGAUUAUAUUAAAGAAUGCUUAAUAUGUCAACAAAUGAAGCCUUCUAACAAGAAACCAGCAUGGUUACUUAUGCCUCUUCCCGUUCCUUCUGAAACCUGGAAAGACAUUACAAUGGACUUUAUAACAGAGCUGCCCAAAGUAGAAGGUAAAACAGUCAUCAUGGUGGUCGUUGAUAGACUGUCAAAAUAUGCCCAUUUCAGCCCACUUUCACCAAAUUUUAAUGCUGUCAUGGUAGCUGAGGAUUUUGCGAAGGAUAUCAUAAAAUUACAUGGGAUUCCAUCAUCUAUCGUAUCUGACAGAGAUAAGGUAUUUACUUCUAGAUUUUGGAAGGAAUUACAUAAAUUAAGUGGAACUAAAUUACUCCACUCAUCUAUUCCUACCAUCCGGAAACAGAUGGUCAUGCUGAGGUAGUCAAUAGAACCUUAGAAAUGUAUCUAAGGUCAUUUUGUCAUGAAGAUCCAAAGAAGUGGCUUAAAGUAUUACCUUGGGCAGAAUUGUGGUAUAACUCUAGUUACCACUCUUCAUUGUGUAUGACUCCAUUUAAAGCUUUGUAUGGGAAGGAAGCAAGUGAGAUACCUCCUUACAGUUCAGGGCAAUCAACUAUCGAGGCAGUAGAUCUAUCACUUCAACUUAGAGAGGAUACUCUUAAAAUCAUAAAACAGAAUUUACUAAAAGCUCAGGGGAGGAUGAAAAUCCAAGCCGAUAAGAAAAGGUCGGAGAUUUCAUUUGAAGAAGGAGCUUGGGUGUUAGUCAAAUUACAACCCUAUCGACAAAAAUCUGUUACAACAAGGCUACACAAUAAAUUAAGCCAAAAAUAUUUCGGUCCAUACCAAAUCGAAAGAAAAAUCAGCGAAGUAGCUUACAGAUUGAAAUUUCCAGAAGGCAGCAAAAUCCACAGUACAUUCCAUGUGUCCAGAUUGAAGCAAUUUCAAGGACCAAUUCCUGAAAAUACAGAAAAGGGAGAGCCACUGUUAACAAGAGAAAAUCAGCCAAUUAUAUACCCUAUGGCUAUAAUUGAUGAGCGUGAGGUCUGGCAAGGAAAGAAAAUAGUAAAACAGUUAUUGAUACAAUGGAAUGGAGCUUUACCAGAGGACUCAUCUGGGAAGACCGGGCAGCGCUACAAGCGGCUUUUUCUGCUCUAAACCUUGAGGACAAGGUCAGCAUUGAAGGAGGGGGUGAUGAUACAGUAGCUAUCGACUACGACCAGAUUGCAGAUGACGUCGCCGGGAUUCAGGAAUCCGUCGCCGAGGAGAGGGCCACCCUAAUUUCUGAGAAGGGGAAGAAUUCGAUCGAAGUUCGUUGAAGGCUAAUGAACCGGGUGAGGACCGGGCUAAAUCCAAGCGGUUUAGGCGCAAACCGGCUUGGUGUGAUGAUUAUGAAAUGGGCUCGACCAUGGAGGGCUAAACCAAGUUGGAGGGAACCUGUUUUAUUUUAAAUAAUUGCAUAACAGACCCUAAGUAGUUAAAUAUUGCAAGUAUCAAAGUAGUAUAAAUUGUAAUAGUUUCAUUGAGGAUAUUUUUAUGAAAUUAAUAUUACAAGUUUACAACAAAUCACCAAUCACAUCUACCCUAGUCACAGCCGCCUCCAACAUUCUGUUGAGUAUCUCGCCGAAAUCGCAAUACCUCCAAAUACGUCGCGCUCUUCGUCAUCGAGCCGCAUCGAGCUCCUUGUUACUUUGCUUAACAUCAAAUAAGUAAUCCAUCAGGAAUUGAUCCCGCCGCACUAGCCUUGGACACCUAAGAUCCCUUCGAUCUUGGAUCUGAGGCACUUCCGAUCAUCAGGUCGUGUGUGUUUAUCUUGUAAUCGAUCUUGAAUCAUAUCAGUACCUCAACGAAGACGAGGAAGUACCAGAAUGUAGACGAAAUCGAACGAAGACGAAUGAAGACGAAGAAGAAUAUAACUAAGACGAAGACAAACGAAGACGGAGAACGAAGAACACGAAAGAAGAUGAACGAAGACGGAGAACGUAGACGAUCGAAGAUUAUCGAAGCGAAGUCGGACUAGAACGAAGUGGAUUACGAGGACGAACCAGAACGAAGACGAAAUUGAACGAAGACGAGGACGAACCAGGACGAAGACGAAAUCGAACGAAGACGAGGACGAACCAGGACGAAGACGUACGAAGCUGGAUUACCCUUUUCAGAACAAAAUCCAGAACGAAAGACGAAAUCCAGAACGAAGACGAAGCAGAAGAAUAUAACCAACCGCGGAAUGCAGAAAGAAAAAUAAAUCCAAGAUCGGAAUAAGAUAAAUACUGACACUAACACUAUAUCUACUACUGACAAUACACCUGAU
Molecule: long non-coding RNA, 5893 nt
Filed under: Zostera marina
Lineage: Eukaryota; Viridiplantae; Streptophyta; Magnoliopsida; Alismatales; Zosteraceae
Description: long non-coding RNA (ZMAR_LNC000929)
Source: RNAcentral